GAUGAACGCUGGCGGCGUGCCUAAUACAUGCCAGUCGAGCGAACAGACGAGGAGCUUGCUUCUCUGACGUUAGCGGCGGACGGGUGAGUAACACGUGGAUAACCUACCUAUAAGACUGGGAUAACUUCGGGAAACCGGAGCUAAUACCGGAUAAUAUAUUGAACCGCAUGGUUCAAUAGUGAAAGACGGUUUUGCUGUCACUUAUAGAUGGAUCCGCGCCGCAUUAGCUAGUUGGUAAGGUAACGGCUUACCAAGGCAACGAUGCGUAGCCGACCUGGGAGGGUGAUCGGCCACACUGGAACUGAGACACGGUCCAGACUCCUACGGGAGGCAGCAGUAGGGAAUCUUCCGCAAUGGGCGAAAGCCUGACGGAGCAACGCCGCGUGAGUGAUGAAGGUCUUCGGAUCGUAAAACUCUGUUAUUAGGGAAGAACAAAUGUGUAAGUAACUAUGCACGUCUUGACGGUACCUAAUCAGAAAGCCACGGCUAACUACGUG
This 497-nucleotide ribosomal RNA is filed under the name uncultured bacterium. RNAcentral describes it as "partial 16S ribosomal RNA". It matches the Rfam family "Bacterial small subunit ribosomal RNA", at positions 28 to 507 of the family's 1533-position model. The record is from RNAcentral.